GACGGACGCUGGCGGCGUGCUUAACACAUGCAAGUCGAACGGUAAGGCUCCAGCUUGCUGGGGUACACGAGUGGCGAACGGGUGAGUAACACGUGGGUGACCUGCCCUGCACUUCGGGAUAAGCCUGGGAAACUGGGUCUAAUACCGGAUAGGACCGCACCGUGAGGGUGUGGUGGAAAGUUUUUUCGGUGUGGGAUGGGCCCGCGGCCUAUCAGCUUGUUGGUGGGGUAAUGGCCUACCAAGGCGGCGACGGGUAGCCGGCCUGAGAGGGUGGACGGCCACAUUGGGACUGAGACACGGCCCAGACUCCUACGGGAGGCAGCAGUGGGGAAUAUUGCACAAUGGGCGGAAGCCUGAUGCAGCGACGCCGCGUGGGGGAUGACGGCCUUCGGGUUGUAAACUCCUUUCACCAUCGACGAAGGGUUUCUGACGGUAGAUGGAGAAGAAGCACCGGCUAACUACGUG
Molecule: ribosomal RNA, 465 nt
Filed under: uncultured bacterium
Lineage: Bacteria
Description: partial 16S ribosomal RNA
Rfam family: Bacterial small subunit ribosomal RNA
Source: RNAcentral